RNAcentral lists this long non-coding RNA (1134 nucleotides) under Prunus persica (peach). RNAcentral's name for it is "long non-coding RNA (PPER_LNC002767)". The record is from RNAcentral. Lineage: Eukaryota; Viridiplantae; Streptophyta; Magnoliopsida; Rosales; Rosaceae.
CAAUGUCUCUCAAAACUUCAACAUUCUUCGAUCCCAAAAAAACCCAGUAUUGCCAAGGACUCAGCUAGUCCUCAAAAGCUCAUCACAACUACUAUUCACCACCUGAAGUCAACUUCUCUCCCACUCACAGCUGCCACAUUGCCAUUUUUACUGGACACCAAGGCAAGUACAAAUUUAGUAAUUCAUUUCACUCUCAUUUUCUAGUUUCUGCAUGCAUUUCAAAAUCAGAACUUUACCCAUGUUCAUAUGUUCUUCUUCCAUUUCAAAUUUGGGUUUUUUAUUUUUUUAUUUUUUCAAUUUGUGGGUGUGGAUUAGGAUGCACUUGCUGUUGGUGGGGAGUUUGGAAUAUUGGAGGGAAGGACAUUUGCUUUGAUACACCCCAUUGCGAUGGGUGGUCUGUUUGUAUUCACAUUGUGGACAGGGUACUUGGGUUGGCAAUGGAGGAGAGUCAGGACAAUCCAGAAUGAAAUUAAUGAGCUCAAGAAGCAAGUUAAGCCUACCCCAGUUACACCAGAGGGGACACCAGUUGAAGAACCACCAUCUCCUUUUGCACUCAAAAUUCAGCAGCUCAGUGAGGUAGGCAUUUGACGGUCAGGAUUAUUUUAUGCUGAAUGCAAUGUAUAACAAUUGAAUGCAUGCUUAAUGCCAAGUAUGCAUUUUUAUUUCCAUGGAAUUAACUUACUUCUGGUGGGUUGAGAAACAAUGCACUUCAUGUUUUGGUCUUGUAUAUAUAAACCCUUCAUAGGAUGAAUUUGAUGUGCUAAAUUUGAAAAAAAUAGAUGGAAGGGUUGGCCAAAGUAACUAUAGUAUCAUUGUAAAUUAGUUUCAUUUAUGUAUUUGACAUUAAAUUUUGUGCAAUGUUUUUUCUGCUGUUAAGCAAAAAUUGGCAUUUCUGCAUAAACUAGUGUUUUAUCUCUUGAAUGUUUACUUCAUGAGAAUGUAUGAUGUGUUGGCAUUUCCUUAUCAGGAAAGGAAGGAGUUGGUGAAGGGGUCUUACCGGGAUAGACACUUCAAUGCCGGUUCAAUAUUGUUGGCUUUCGGAGUUUUCGAGUCCAUUGGUGGAGGAGUGAACACAUGGUUUAGGACAGGAAAGCUAUUUCCAGGUCCCCAUUUGUUUGCAGGAGCAGGUAAAAU